AACUCGGUAGUGAAGUCGCAUCACGUCCGCCUCAUGGAAAAUGCGACCAGAUAUGUAAGCGGAAGUCGCCCGUUCGACCCAGGUCCGAGUUA
Mycena rosella is the source of this 92-nucleotide non-coding RNA. NCBI's taxonomy places the organism in Eukaryota, Fungi, Basidiomycota, Agaricomycetes, Agaricales, Mycenaceae. The record is from the annotation of a GenBank genome assembly.